Camellia sinensis is the source of this 463-nucleotide long non-coding RNA. RefSeq lists it as uncharacterized. NCBI's taxonomy places the organism in Eukaryota, Viridiplantae, Streptophyta, Magnoliopsida, Ericales, Theaceae. The record is from RefSeq and is a predicted model, not a curated record.
GGGUUAAGCACUUGCUGAGGGAUGUGAAGGAUACAACAAUUAGCACCCUUGCAAUAGAGGAUGCUGAGGGUUUAAUUGUGCUCAACAUAGGCAGCUAUAUGGGUGGAGUUGAUCUUUGGCAAAAUGAUUAUGAGCAUGACGAUGAUUUCAAUCUUCAGUCCAUGCAUGACAAAACGCUUGAGGUGGUGUGCAUUUCUGGAGCAUGGCACCUUGGCAAACUUCAGUUCAGGGAACAACAGAGAUAAAUAGAAAAAGUGCAUCGGAGACAAAGAUGAAGAGGCUAGAUUACAAGUCAACAAAACUCAUAUUCCCAAUGUAAUUGCAGAGACGCAUGACACUGCAUAAAGGGGCAUCCUAUUUUGGUGAACUAGGUUGAUAUGGUAGGAAAAAGAUUUGUAUGUGAAUGUGGUUAUUGUGAAUGAGAAUAUGAAUAUCAAGUUGGCUUAAAUGCCCAGAUUCGUAU